Molecule: small nuclear RNA, 99 nt
Filed under: Sciurus vulgaris (Eurasian red squirrel)
Lineage: Eukaryota; Metazoa; Chordata; Mammalia; Rodentia; Sciuridae
Source: RNAcentral
GUGCUUGCUUCAGCAGCACAUAUACUAAAACUGUAAUGACGGAAGAUUAGCAUGACCCCUGUGUAAGGAUGACAAAUUCAUGAAGUAUUCCAUAUUUAA